UCCACUGUACAUAUUCCAAGGCAGACCCAGAGGGAUGGAGGCGUGGGAAAGAUGAGGAGCCUGGGCAUUGCAAGGCAGGCAGGGACUGGAGGAGCCACCAUAGCCCAGAUGGAGGCCGGGAAGAGGCCUGCAGGGGCACGCACCCUCACGCCUGCAGAGCAGGACGGACAGCCUGCUGACCGGGGAGAGGGGAGAGAGACCUUGGGCAGUGUGGGGAAUUAAGAACUGUGAAACGUGUACUUCAUAGUUUUUUUGGGGGGUAAACUCAUUAUGCUGCUCAUAAGAGGGCAAGAUUUUAUCAUUCACUUUAUGCAUAUAGAUAACUUUUAUAGAUCAUUCUUAGAACCACUCAUGUUUUAUCUGUAUGAUCUCAGGAACUACCUAGAGACCUCAAUCAAAUAUACACUGGUUUACACUGUGUCCUUCCGACAAGAAUCCUCUUCCACCUCCAGACCUGAAUAAACGCUGCCUCUUUCGCCCUUCCCGGUACUUUACCCUGCGGGACUGGAGCCAGCAGCCCCUCCCUGGGGAGCACUUCCCACCCCCUCAACUGGGCGGGUGCUUAGGGGGUGUGUUCUGUGCUUCUCCACAACGCACUUUUGUGUUUCUUGCAUGGUCUCCUCUGUUAGAAAGCAAUGACUUCAUCGACCUUGUCCAUGUUAUACACAAAAUUCCUGCAGCACAGUAGGCAUGUAACAACACAGACUUCAUGCGUGAACACAAAUUAUGAUGUCCAGGUAUCUUCAACAGCAAAGGGUAUUCACCUGGGGAGAAAUAUGGAGUCUAUGUGUUGUUGUGAAGGGCAGAUGGAGAACGAGUGCAUAAACAGCACAGUAAAACCCAGGCCUAUUAGAACAUGGAACCACAGUCAUCACUGGAAUCUGCAGUCACAGCGGAAGCCCCAUCACGGGGGCUCAGAGGUGAAGCGGGAAGA
Molecule: long non-coding RNA, 934 nt
Filed under: Homo sapiens (human)
Lineage: Eukaryota; Metazoa; Chordata; Mammalia; Primates; Hominidae
Description: HSALNT0117092
Source: RNAcentral